CAGACGGGUGAGUAACGCGUGGGAACAUACCCUUUCCUGCGGAAUAGCUCCGGGAAACUGGAAUUAAUACCGCAUACGCCCUACGGGGGAAAGAUUUAUCGGGGAAGGAUUGGCCCGCGUUGGAUUAGCUAGUUGGUGGGGUAAAGGCCUACCAAGGCGACGAUCCAUAGCUGGUCUGAGAGGAUGAUCAGCCACAUUGGGACUGAGACACGGCCCAAACUCCUACGGGAGGCAGCAGUGGGGAAUAUUGGACAAUGGGCGCAAGCCUGAUCCAGCCAUGCCGCGUGAGUGAUGAAGGCCUUAGGGUUGUAAAGCUCUUUCACCGAUGAAGAUAAUGACGGUAGUCGGAGAAGAAGCCCCGGCUAACUUCGUGCCAGCAGCCGCGGUAAUACGAAGGGGGCUAGCGUUGUUCGGAAUUACUGGGCGUAAAGCGCACGUAGGCGGAUAUUUAAGUCAGGGGUGAAAUCCCGCAGCUCAACUGCGGAACUGCCUUUGAUACUGGGUAUCUUGAGUAUGGAAGAGGUAAGUGGAAUUCCGAGUG
This 541-nucleotide ribosomal RNA is filed under the name Agrobacterium tumefaciens. Its description in RNAcentral is "bacterial SSU rRNA". It matches the Rfam family "Bacterial small subunit ribosomal RNA", at positions 99 to 675 of the family's 1533-position model. The record is from RNAcentral. Lineage: Bacteria; Pseudomonadati; Pseudomonadota; Alphaproteobacteria; Hyphomicrobiales; Rhizobiaceae.